This 446-nucleotide ribosomal RNA is filed under the name uncultured bacterium. RNAcentral describes it as "bacterial SSU rRNA". It matches the Rfam family "Bacterial small subunit ribosomal RNA", at positions 329 to 792 of the family's 1533-position model. The record is from RNAcentral.
GGCCAGACUCCUACGGGAGGCAGCAGUGGGGAAUAUUGCACAAUGGGGGAAACCCUGAUGCAGCGACGCCGCGUGAGUGAAGAAGUAUUUCGGUAUGUAAAGCUCUAUCAGCAGGGAAGAAGUUGACGGUACCUGAGUAAGAAGCCCCGGCUAACUACGUGCCAGCAGCCGCGGUAAUACGUAGGGGGCAAGCGUUAUCCGGAUUUACUGGGUGUAAAGGGAGCGUAGACGGCAGUGCAAGUCUGAGGUGAAAGCCCCGGGCUUAACCCGGGAACUGCUUUGGAAACUGUACGGCUGGAGUGCUGGAGAGGUAAGCGGAAUUCCUAGUGUAGCGGUGAAAUGCGUAGAUAUUAGGAGGAACACCAGUGGCGAAGGCGGCUUACUGGACAGUAACUGACGUUGAGGCUCGAAAGCGUGGGGAGCAAACAGGAUUAGAUACCCUCGUA